AUGACUACUGCUGCUGCUGUUACUACUACUGCUUCUGUUACUACUACUACUGCUGCUGAUCGUACAACUGCUGCUGCUGCUGCUGUUACUACUACUGCUGCUGUUACUACUACUGCUUCUGUUACUACUACUACUGCUGCUGAUCGUACAACUGCUGCUGCUGCUGCUGUUGCUACUACUGCUGCUGCUACUACUGUUACUACUACUGCUGCUGCUACUACUGUUACUACUACUGCUUCUGUUACUAUUACUACUACUACUGUUACUACUGCUGCUGUUACUACUACUGCUGCUGUUACUACUACUGCUGCUGCUGUUACUACUACUGCUUCUGCUGCUGUUACUACUACUGCUGCUGUUACUAUUACUACUGCUGCUGUUACUACUACUGCUACUGCUGUUACUACUACUGCUGCUGUUACUACUACUACUGCUGCUGUUACUACUACUGCUACUGCUGUUACUACUACUGCUGCUGUUACUAUGACUACUGCUGCUGCUGUUACUACUACUGCUGCUACUACUGCAACUACUGUUACUACUACUGUUGCUGUUACUACUACUGCUGCUGUUACUACCGCUACUACUGCAACUACUGUUACUACUACUGCUGCUGCUGCUGUUACCAUUACUGCUGCUGUUUUUACUACUACUGCUGCUGUUACUUCUUCUGCUGCUACUGCUGUUACUACUACUGCUGCUGUUACUACUACUACUGCUGCUAAUGUUACUACUACUGCUGUUUUUACUACUACUGCUGCUGUUACUUCUUCUGCUGCUACUGCUGUUACUACUACUGCUGCUGUUACUACUACUACUGCUGCUAAUGUUACUACUACUGCUGCUGCUGCUGUUACUACUACUGCUGCUAAUGUUACUACUACUGAUGCUGCUGCUGUUACCACUAAUACUGCUGCUGUUACUUCUACUACGGAUGAUGUUACUACUACUACUGCUGCUGCUGCUGUUACUAUUACUGCUGCUACUGUUACUAAAGUUACUACUACUACUGCUGUUACUACUACUACUGCUGCUGCUGUUACUACUGCUACUACUGUUACUACUACUUCUGCUGUUACUACUACUGCUGCUGUUACUACUACUCCUGCUGCUGCAGUUACUACUGCUACUACUACUGCUGCUGUUACUACUGUUACUACUACUGCUACUACUACUACUACUACUGCUACUACUGCUACUACUGUUACUACUACUGCUGCUGUUACUACUACUACUACUGCUGCUGUUACUAUUACUGCUGAUGUUACUACUACUACUACUACUACUGCUGCUGUUACUAUUACUGCUGCUGUUACUACUACUAUUGCUACUGUUGUUACUAUUACUGCUGCUGCUGCUAUUACUGCUGCUGUUACUACUACUACUACUACUGCUGCUGUUACUACUACUACUACUACUGCUGCUGAUGCUGUUACUACUACUACUACUACUGCUGCUGUUACUACUACUACUACUACUGCUGCUGUUACUACUACUACUACUACUGCUGCUGAUGCUGUUACUAUUGCUGCUGCUGCUGCUGUUACUACUACUAUUGCUACUGUUGUUACUAUUACUGCUGCUGCUGCUAUUACUGCUGCUGUUACUACUACUACUACUACUGCUGCUGUUACUACUACUACUACUACUACUACUGCUGCUGAUGCUGUUACUAUUGCUGCUACUACUGCUGUUACUACUACUGCUGCUGUUACUACUACUACUGCUGCUGUUACUACUACUGCUGCUGUUACUACUACUACUACUACUGCUGCUGUUACUACUACUACUACUACUGCUGCUGAUGCUGUUACUAUUGCUGCUACUACUGCUGUUACUACUACUGCUGCUGUUACUACUACUACUGCUGCUGUUACUACUACUGCUGCUGUUACUACUACUGCUGCUGCUGUUACUACUACUGCUGCUGUUACUACUACUACUGCUGCUGUUACUACUACUACUGCUGUUACUACUACUGCUGCUGUUACUACUACUACUGCUGCUGUUACUACUACUGCUGCUGUUACUACUACUACUGCUGCUGUUACUACUACUGCUGCUGUUACUACUACUGCUGCUGCUGUUACUACUACUGCUGCUGCUGGUGUUACUACUACUGCUGCUGCUGCUGUUACUACUACUGCUGCUGUUACUACUACUGCAACUACUGUUGCUACUGCAACUACUGUUACUACUGCUACUGCUGUUACUACUGCUGCUCCUGCUGCUACUUUUACUACUACUAGUACUGCUGCUACUACUACUACUUCUACUACUACUACUACUACUACUGCUACUACUGCUACUACUGCUAUUACUGCUACUACUACUACUAGUAGUACUAUUACUGCUACUACUACUACUAUUACUGCUACUGUUACUACUACUACUACUGCUACUGUUACUACUACUACUACUUCUACUUCUACUACAACUACUACUACUACUACUACUACUGCUACUGUUACUACUACUACCACUACUUCUACUACUACUAUUACUACUACUACUUCUACUACUACUACUGCUACUACCCCUGCUGCUGCUACUCCUGUGGCUACUGCUGCUCUUACUAGGUUUUGA
Molecule: long non-coding RNA, 2586 nt
Filed under: Oncorhynchus mykiss (rainbow trout)
Lineage: Eukaryota; Metazoa; Chordata; Actinopteri; Salmoniformes; Salmonidae
Description: lncRNA (ENSOMYG00000053635.1)
Source: RNAcentral